This 253-nucleotide ribosomal RNA is filed under the name uncultured bacterium. Its description in RNAcentral is "partial 16S ribosomal RNA". It matches the Rfam family "Bacterial small subunit ribosomal RNA", at positions 524 to 776 of the family's 1533-position model. The record is from RNAcentral.
UACAGAGGUGGCAAGCGUUGUUCGGAAUUACUGGGCGUAAAGGGCGCGUAGGCGGUCUUCUAAGUCUUGUGUGAAAUCCCUCGGCUCAACUGAGGAACUGCACGGGAUACUGGAUGACUUGAGUUCGGGAGAGGGAAGCGGAAUUCCGGGUGUAGCGGUGAAAUGCGUAGAUAUCCGGAGGAACACCGGUGGCGAAGGCGGCUUCCUGGCCGAGUACUGACGCUGAUGCACGAAAGCGUGGGGAGCAAACGGG